RNAcentral lists this ribosomal RNA (253 nucleotides) under uncultured bacterium. RNAcentral describes it as "partial 16S ribosomal RNA". It matches the Rfam family "Bacterial small subunit ribosomal RNA", at positions 524 to 776 of the family's 1533-position model. The record is from RNAcentral.
UACGUAGGGUGCGAGCGUUGUCCGGAAUUAUUGGGCGUAAAGAGCUCGUAGGCGGUUUGUUGCGUCGACUGUGAAAACCUGGGGCUUAACUCUGGGCUUGCAGUCGAUACGGGCAGACUUGAGUUCGGUAGGGGAGACUGGAAUUCCUGGUGUAGCGGUGAAAUGCGCAGAUAUCAGGAAGAACACCCGUGGCGAAAGCGGCUCUCUGGGACGGUACUGACGCUGAGACGCGAAAGCGUGGGGAGCGAACAGG